UGGGGAAUCUUGGACAAUGGGCGCAAGCCUGAUCCAGCCAUGCCGCGUGAGUGAAGAAGGUCUUCGGAUUGUAAAGCUCUUUUGCCAGGGACGAUAAUGACGGUACCUGGAGAAUAAGCCCCGGCAAACUUCGUGCCAGCAGCCGCGGUAAUACGAAGGGGGCUAGCGUUGUUCGGAAUUACUGGGCGUAAAGCGCACGUAGGCGGGUCGUUAAGUCAGGGGUGAAAUCCCGGAGCUCAACUCCGGAACUGCCUUUGAUACUGGCGAUCUUGAGAUCGGAAGAGGUGAGUGGAAUUCCCAGUGUAGAGGUGAAAUUCGUAGAUAUUGGGAAGAACACCAGUGGCGAAGGCGGCUCACUGGUCCGAUACUGACGCUGAGGUGCGAAAGCGUGGGGAGCAAACAGG
RNAcentral lists this ribosomal RNA (404 nucleotides) under uncultured bacterium. Its description in RNAcentral is "bacterial SSU rRNA". It matches the Rfam family "Bacterial small subunit ribosomal RNA", at positions 355 to 776 of the family's 1533-position model. The record is from RNAcentral.